Molecule: ribosomal RNA, 429 nt
Filed under: Actinomycetes bacterium
Lineage: Bacteria; Bacillati; Actinomycetota; Actinomycetes
Description: Actinobacteria bacterium partial 16S ribosomal RNA
Rfam family: Bacterial small subunit ribosomal RNA
Source: RNAcentral
UAGGGAAUCUUCCGCAAUGGGCGAAAGCCUGACGGAGCAACGCCGCGUGAGUGAUGAAGGUCUUCGGAUCGUAAAACUCUGUUAUUAGGGAAGAACAAAUGUGUAAGUAACUAUGCACGUCUUGACGGUACCUAAUCAGAAAGCCACGGUUAACUACGUGCCAGCAGCCGCGGUAAUACGUAGGUGGCAAGCGUUAUCCGGAAUUAUUGGGCGUAAAGCGCGCGUAGGCGGUUUUUUAAGUCUGAUGUGAAAGCCAACGGCGCAACGGUGGAGGGUCAUUGGAAGUGGGAAAACUGUAGUGCAGAAGAGUAAAGUGUAAGUCCAUGGGUAGCGGUUAAAUGCUCAGUGUGAUGGAGAAACACCAGUGGCGAAGGAGACUUUCUGGUCUGUAACUGACUCUGAUGUGCGAAAGCGUGGGGAUCAAACAGG